Molecule: ribosomal RNA, 479 nt
Filed under: uncultured bacterium
Lineage: Bacteria
Description: partial 16S ribosomal RNA
Rfam family: Bacterial small subunit ribosomal RNA
Source: RNAcentral
UGACCGCUGGCGGCGUGCUUACCACAUGCAAGUCGACCGAAGCACUUUAUUUGAUUUCCUUCGGGACUGAUUAUUUUGUGACUGAGUGGCGGACGGGUGAGUAACGCGUGGGUAACCUGCCUUGUACAGGGGGAUAACAGUUGGAAACGGCUGCUAAUACCGCAUAAGCGCACAGCAUCGCAUGAUGCAGUGUGAAAAACUCCGGUGGUAUAAGAUGGACCCGCGUUGGAUUAGCUAGUUGGUGAGGUAACGGCCCACCAAGGCGACGAUCCAUAGCCGACCUGAGAGGGUGACCGGCCACAUUGGGACUGAGACACGGCCCAAACUCCUACGGGAGGCAGCAGUGGGGAAUAUUGCACAAUGGGCGAAAGCCUGAUGCAGCGACGCCGCGUGAGCGAAGAAGUAUUUCGGUAUGUAAAGCUCUAUCAGCAGGGAAGAUAAUGACGGUACCUGACUAAGAAGCACCGGCUAAAUACGUG